CAGUCGUACCGGCGGAUAAUCAGCCUUUCGGGUGCGAUUCUGUGGGGCGUGAGGAGCUUGACCGCCUUCAUGUUUUUGCAUAUUCGUGCACAUUUGGUGUACUUGUCCGUGUGGUGGGUUAACAUCAAUUUCGGUCGUCAUAAAAUGACGUGGA
This 154-nucleotide ribosomal RNA is filed under the name Glomus sp. (unid). Lineage: Eukaryota; Fungi; Glomeromycota; Glomeromycetes; Glomerales; Glomeraceae. The record is from RNAcentral.